GAAUUCUGAACUUCUUCUUGUGUUGCAGAAUUUUCUAUCAAUAUUUCAUCACAAAAAGUCGUUGCAGAGCCUUGCUUUGAGUCUGGCUUUGCUGGAGCAGGUGAGCUAUCUCAUGUCAUUCUUCGAUGGUUUUCUCUGCUGAUAAAAGUUAGAUAGGAGAAUGAAAAGGGUAUGAUGCUUAUAGCUGCGCAGAAACACAAGGAGAGAAUGAAAGACCUUUGGUCCUGUUUGAUACAAAUUCUCUUCCCUUCUGCCUGCAGGAUUCCCUCCUCCUCCUCAAAGUGAGCCCCAAGCCUGUGUCCCCCGAUCCCUGCAGCUCCCCACUGCAGCGGGCAAAUCCGGCCCGCGACCACCCUCUGGGAUCCCCGCUUUGGAUGGGGCAGCGUGGAAAGAAGGUGCACGGGCUGCUGUUGAGGCUUUGCUUUAGCAAUCCAGCAUAGAAGCAAACAGCAUGACUAGAGCCAAGGAGAGGAGUUGAGCGAGUGAAUAACGACAGCACAAAUCAGCAGUAAAGAAGCAGUCUGCUGCAGCACCUGUACUGAGAGCCCGAGGCCAGCGAGGAAAGUGGCAGAAAGAUUGCAGUGGGAAAUGGCAUGGGGAGCACCAUAUGCACUGAGCACCGAAACGCUGAGAAUGGCAUUUUCAGCUCUCCUAAAGAUGGGGAAAUGUCUGUGUCCUUGAGUAAGGUCAAAGAUGGAUAGACCAAGACCAUACUUCUAAUGUCAGGCGGAAACCUCGCUGUGCCGGGGCUGUUCCAGUGCUGUACCCUCGGAGUGAUGUGCUGCAGCCAGGACCGGCUGAGUUUUUCACAAGGCAGAAGAAGGAAAGCGUUUGGGAUCAGCACUGAUCUCCUCGCAUCCACCGCUGCACCUCCAGGACGUUUAGGUAAACACAGAAAAAGAAAAGCAGCCUCCUCGUCUGCAACAUGGGGAUGAUGCUGAGCACCUCCAGCUGAAAAAGGUGAGGCAAGCCCAGGUUUAUUUAUUUGAAUAACUAGAAAAAUGCUGGGGGGUUCCUUUGCCUGUCCCCUCCUACAGCUGGCGGUGGUCAUU
Molecule: long non-coding RNA, 1052 nt
Filed under: Cairina moschata (Muscovy duck)
Lineage: Eukaryota; Metazoa; Chordata; Aves; Anseriformes; Anatidae
Description: domestica (muscovy Duck (domestic type)) lncRNA (ENSCMMG00000015688.1)
Source: RNAcentral